AUGGGGCUGAGUGUCACAAGGAACACUUUGAUCCUCCUCAAUCAUCUUUUUCACUUUGCGGUGCGGUGUAAAAGAUGGGAGGAUGUUUGGCUAGUCGAGAGCCGGAUGAUCUGGUUCCCGCUGCUCUUCGCAAGCCGUGACGUAAUUGUACGUGCUUCAGCUUUCCAGUUGGCCAGCGGUCUGACAAGCUCUAGAGCGGGUGCCGAAUUUAUGUUGACUGCAGUGGAUGGUCUUUGGAGCACGUCUUUAGGUGUUCUUAUGAAUCAUCGAGAAGCAAGUGUUGUAAGAGAGAAUGCAGGCAUGAUCUGCUCCAAUAUCAUAAGCCAUGGAACCAAAGACUUAAUGGUAGACCGGUGCAAAGAAAUAGGACUCUUUGAAUAUUUUUCUGUUAUUGUCUCCCAGUUAAGGAUAUCACCUCUCAUGGACUCAACGCAAGAAGGAUCUCCAACAACAAACGAAGACUAUGCACCAACCACGCCAGAUUUGUUGAAAGUCUGUUGCCUCCUCCUAAUGAAUUUAUGUUGUUUAAGGGAAACUACUCUGAGAGACGCCUAUCAAGAUGGAUUUACAGUUUCUUUGUUUAGAUUUUUAAGUUCUUUUCAAGUGCCAAAUAAUUUAUCGCGGGAUGUUGUAACGAUGUUAACUGCCAUGUGUUCGUUACUAGCUCAUACAAUGAACAAAGUUGAAAAUAUUCUUGUGCCCAACUGUACCAUUGUCAUUUUGCCUCUGUUGAAUACUGAUUUGUUUGGUGAGAAUUUAACGCUAGAGCGCGAUGCCUUGUGGGGUGAAUUGUGGUUUUUUAUAUCUACGAUUCCAUCAUCGUCCAGCUCACUAGUCAAUUUAAAUCCUCCUGCAAUUUCAGCAUUGUUAUACUCCCUCUCCAGCUCCAACCGGACUCUUCAAAUGAACGCAUUGGUCGCUGUUAGAGCUUUGUCUCCAAGUUUCAAUAGAGAUACAGCAAAUGAGUUAACUGUUUCGUUGUUAGCUCAUUGGGAUGUAUUUUCAAGUGGGAGCAAGCGAUUGGCUUUGUAUUCAGCAUUAGGUCAACUGUUCAUGGACUGGGGCGAAACGUCAGUGUGUGCUUUGAAACAUGAUUUUGGAAACCUUGUAUUGUUUAGAUUGAAGAAAAUCCACGUUGAUCUCAGUGUGGCUGCUCCAGACGUCCUCCGAUCGAAAAAAAAUCAUCCUACUUUAACUCACCUGAUUGAUCUUCUAGGCUUAUUAAGCAACUUCUUAGCCAGCAGUGAAUUAGUAAAAAAAGCAUGGCAGAGAAUGGUCUUGCAGCUGUCUUUCACAAUUUAUGGGUAUGGUGCUCUUUGA
This 1320-nucleotide long non-coding RNA is filed under the name Bemisia tabaci. RNAcentral's name for it is "lncRNA ENSSSA1UGG003840". Lineage: Eukaryota; Metazoa; Arthropoda; Insecta; Hemiptera; Aleyrodidae. The record is from RNAcentral.